GACGAACGCUGGCGGCGUGCCUAAUACAUGCAAGUAGAACGCUGAAGAGAGGAGCUUGCUCUUCUUGGAUGAGUUGCGAACGGGUGAGUAACGCGUAGGUAACCUGCCUUGUAGCGGGGGAUAACUAUUGGAAACGAUAGCUAAUACCGCAUAACAAUGGAUGACACAUGUCAUUUAUUUGAAAGGGGCAAUUGCUCCACUACAAGAUGGACCUGCGUUGUAUUAGCUAGUAGGUGAGGUAAUGGCUCACCUAGGCGACGAUACAUAACCGACCUGAGAGGGUGGACGGGCAACACGGGAAUUAGAAACGGCCCAGAAUCCCUAGGGAGGCAACAGGAGGGAAUCUUCGGCAAUGGGGGCAAAACUGGACGAGGAAAGCCGGGGGGGUGAAGAAGGUUUUCGGAUCGGAAAGCUCUGUUGUAAGUCAAGAAAGGGGGUGAGAGUGGAAAGUUCACACUGUGACGGUAGCUGACCAGAAAGGGACGGCUAACUACGUG
This 497-nucleotide ribosomal RNA is filed under the name uncultured bacterium. RNAcentral describes it as "partial 16S ribosomal RNA". It matches the Rfam family "Bacterial small subunit ribosomal RNA", at positions 28 to 507 of the family's 1533-position model. The record is from RNAcentral.